UGGCUCAGAUGGUAAAGCGCCUGCCUACAGUGCAGGAGACCCAGGUUCGAUUCCUGG
RNAcentral lists this transfer RNA (57 nucleotides) under Bos taurus (domestic cattle). It matches the Rfam family "tRNA", at positions 8 to 63 of the family's 71-position model. Rfam says of the family: Transfer RNA (tRNA) molecules are approximately 80 nucleotides in length. Lineage: Eukaryota; Metazoa; Chordata; Mammalia; Artiodactyla; Bovidae. RNAcentral also lists the same sequence under 1 other name. The record is from Rfam by way of RNAcentral.